This 508-nucleotide unclassified non-coding RNA is filed under the name Hevea brasiliensis (rubber tree). The record is from RNAcentral. Lineage: Eukaryota; Viridiplantae; Streptophyta; Magnoliopsida; Malpighiales; Euphorbiaceae.
UGAGGAAUUCCAGUUUGAUUUAGACUGUGAGGAUGGAGAAUUAGAUUAUAACUCAGGUAUGGCAGCGGAUCAGUGUUUGGGCUGGUCACAUUACCAGCUUGGUGGACUUGGAAGCCUGCAUGGACGCAAUCCACUCUCGAAAUUGGAGGAAAGCAUUGAAGAGGAGGGAGAAGAUAGUGGAGGGGAGGAGCAAGGAGAAACAGCUACCUUUCUACCUUCUGAACCAGUUUCUGUUGUGUCAAAGCUUUCCAUGUCUCUCAAGAAUACCAUACUGGGCGAUAAGAAUCAGAAAAACCAAAAGUACCAGGUCACAAAACCUGAAUGUGGAUACAUUACCAACACAUCUGCAGGACACAGGAGUGCAAAUGAGCAGUUUCCUCCAAGUGUCAGCUUUGUUAAGCUUGGGGAUAUGAACGAGGAAGAGUGGUCACUUUUUCUGGAUAAAUUUCCAGAGCUGCUUCGUCCAGCAUUUGCCAAACGCAAAUCUGCGGCAGUGGGGCAGAGGCAG